CCUACGGGAGGCAGCAGUGGGGAAUAUUGCACAAUGGGGGAAACCCUGAUGCAGCGACGCCGCGUGAGUGAAGAAGGAUCUCGGUACGUAAAGCUCUAUCAGCAGGGAAGAAAAUGACGGUACCUGACGAAGAAGCCGCGGCUAACUACGUGCCAGCAGCCGCGGUAAUACGUAGGGGGCAAGCGUUAUCCGGAUUGACUGGGGUUAAAGGGAGCGUAGACGGCAGCACAAGUCUGGAGUGAAAUCCCGGGGCUUAACCCCGGAACUGCUUUGGAAACUGUGCGGCUGGAGGGCAGGAGGGGUAAGCGGAAUUCCUCGUGUAGCGGUGAAAUGCGUAGAUAUUCGGAGGCACACCGGUGGCGAAGGCGGCUUCCUGGACUGUAACUGACGUUGAGGCUCGAAAGCGUGGGGAGCAAACAGGAUUAGAUACCCUUGUAGUC
This 440-nucleotide ribosomal RNA is filed under the name uncultured bacterium. Its description in RNAcentral is "partial 16S ribosomal RNA". It matches the Rfam family "Bacterial small subunit ribosomal RNA", at positions 338 to 795 of the family's 1533-position model. The record is from RNAcentral.